GCGGGUGCGCUUCGUCGGCCUCCGGAGCCGAAGGUCAGAGGUUCGAAUCCUCUCGGGCGCA
This 61-nucleotide transfer RNA is filed under the name Gemmatimonadota bacterium. RNAcentral describes it as "tRNA-Arg". It matches the Rfam family "tRNA", at positions 15 to 71 of the family's 71-position model. Rfam says of the family: Transfer RNA (tRNA) molecules are approximately 80 nucleotides in length. Their secondary structure includes four short double-helical elements and three loops (D, anti-codon, and T loops). Lineage: Bacteria; Pseudomonadati; Gemmatimonadota. The record is from RNAcentral.